This is a long non-coding RNA of Tyto alba (common barn owl), 982 nucleotides long. RefSeq lists it as uncharacterized. Lineage: Eukaryota; Metazoa; Chordata; Aves; Strigiformes; Tytonidae. The record is from RefSeq and is a predicted model, not a curated record. The transcript has 4 exons.
CUGCUGCCUCCGCGGUUACCGGCAACGUGACGCGGCGGUGCUUGCGGAGCGGCGCCGCCUCGCCCGGCGCUUCCUCCCGCUGUCAAGCAUCUUUCUGAAAUCAGGGCUGAAGAGCCAGCAUGCCACUAGUGGGAGAAGAAAAGAGAGCAGCACGUGGAGUUGCACAGAGAAUGAAACUGCUCUCCAAUGAUGCUAUCAAACCAGCAGAUGCUUACAAAGAGAAUUUCAUGGGCAAAGUCAUGGAAGAACUGGAGGUCUGCUAGAGCUGAAUCCAGUGGACUCUCGCUCCCAGGAGGCUUCUCCCAGCCCAGCCUUGUGGCUGCUGCUGUCCUCACGUGUGUGUGUGUGUUCAGAAGACUUAUGGUGCAUUCCAAAGAGCCAGAUGCAGACACACACACACAGAUUUACACCAAUAAUGCAACCGGCAAAACAGAUUGACAUAGACAGAGUAACGCCUUUACCGGCACCCAGGUCUUUGUAACCACCACUUACAUAAAUGUGAACACAGGCCGCUCCUUUUCUGCCUUUCCAUAUGAUCAGGACUGGAUGUUUGCUAGUGAACCACAACUUCAUUCCCUAGAUUCAUAAGCACAGCGUGUGCAUGGAUUCCUCAAGCAACACUCUGGAAAUCGAGUCCAUGUAAUAUCUGUGGCUGGAUGUCAAGCUCCUUAGCCAGUCAUUGGUGCAAACGUUGGGUCUUUCUAGAUCUCCUGUGUCAUGAGAGAGUCCAGUCUGAGGUUCACUGGUGCAUUGUACACACACAGGGAUCCCCCCAGUAGCCGGCCAAAGACACUUUGUGUUUCCAACUGCUGUCCCAAGACCUCUUGCCCCCUAUCACCCAUGUUCCUUUCUUACACUGAACCAUCCCCCUCCUCUGUGGCCAGACAGGGAUUCAGGCCUUUUGAGCAACUCUUCCCUUUGUGCCCCACUUAGCUGCCUGCAGCCUCAUUUGGCAGGGACCAGCCAGCCAUGGAAGUCCUUG